Molecule: ribosomal RNA, 211 nt
Filed under: Escherichia coli
Lineage: Bacteria; Pseudomonadati; Pseudomonadota; Gammaproteobacteria; Enterobacterales; Enterobacteriaceae
Description: partial 16S ribosomal RNA
Rfam family: Bacterial small subunit ribosomal RNA
Source: RNAcentral
AAAUUGAAGAGUUUGAUCAUGGCUCAGAUUGAACGCUGGCGGCAGGCCUAACACAUGCAAGUCGAACGGUAACAGGAAGAAGCUUGCUUCUUUGCUGACGAGUGGCGGACGGGUGAGUAAUGUCUGGGAAACUGCCUGAUGGAGGGGGAUAACUACUGGAAACGGUAGCUAAUACCGCAUAACGUCGCAAGACCAAAGAGGGGGACCUUCG